CGGGUGAGUAACGCGUAGGAAUUUGCCUGAUAGAGGGGGAUAGCCCGGGGAAACUCGGAUUAAUACCGCAUACGCUCUACGGAGGAAAGCAGGGGAUCUUCGGACCUUGCGCUAUCAGAUAAGCCUGCGUGGGGUUAGCUAGUUGGUGAGGUAAAGGCUCACCAAGGCGACGAUCUCUAGCUGGUCUGAGAGGAUGAUCAGCCACACUGGAACUGAGACACGGUCCAG
Molecule: ribosomal RNA, 228 nt
Filed under: uncultured bacterium
Lineage: Bacteria
Description: partial 16S ribosomal RNA
Rfam family: Bacterial small subunit ribosomal RNA
Source: RNAcentral